UGAAGCUGGAAUCGCUAGUAAUCGCGGAUCAGAAUGCCGCGGUGAAUACGUUCCCGGGUCUUGUACACACCGCCCGUCACACCAUGAGAGCCGGGAACACCCGAAGUCCGUAGUCUAACCUAUAUGGAGGACGCGGCCGAAGGUGGGUUUGGUAAUUGGGGUGAAGUCGUAACAAGGUAAC
This 181-nucleotide ribosomal RNA is filed under the name uncultured bacterium. RNAcentral's name for it is "partial 16S ribosomal RNA". It matches the Rfam family "Bacterial small subunit ribosomal RNA", at positions 1321 to 1500 of the family's 1533-position model. The record is from RNAcentral.